UUAUAUGCAUGCUUUACAUUCCAUCACGAGAGAGAGGCUAAUAGGGCAUGAAUGUAAACAAAUAAUGUCUGACCUGAUAAGCCCUAGUGAUUUAAACUUGCCGGGGGAAAAUCUCAUUUUUUAUUGUUGUGUUCCACUAUGUGAUUCCAAUACUAGUAUUUUUUUUUAUAAAAUACCUGAGGAUGUGAGUUUGAUAAAUGCAGGGAUUGUGAAAAUAAAAAGGAAUGAAUGAGAACAUUUCAAGAUCAAUACAUGACAACAGUUGCUCGUUUCGAAGCAUUUCACACAAUUAGAUUAACGAUCAUGGACACAAUUUCGAAAAUGUCUGAAGAUAAUAGAUGUACUUUCUUGGUUUGACUAGAGAAGUUAUGAUGACUAGAACAGUAUGAUGAACACUAAAGAAGAUUUUGCCAGAUGAAAGGAAUUCCAUUGGUAACAGUCAUGAACACAAAUUGAAAACUGGUAUUUGAAACGCCUUAAGUUGUAAUUCCUCUUCAUGGCAAAUGCAUACCAGAUGAAAAAGAAACUAUCAAACAGUUCAAAGAAGAAUUACAGAAAACUUAGGAAGAAAACAAACAGUGAUAUUGAACAUUUGAUACACACGUCAAUGUGAUAUUGGACGUUUGAUACAAACAAAUUUUCAAAUGACGACAGUUGUAUAUCUUGUUAUACAGGAUUUCCAACAUAUAUAUGUAUAUUCAUAACAGUUUUCAAUGUAAUAAAACAUUAGCAAAAACAUUAAGAGCGUUUAUUAUGAAGUAAGCUAAACAAUCAGUUUGACUGGUAGAAAGAAACGGAUGUUGCAAGCUGACGAAAUGUAUUUUAGCAUAUUUUAAAGUCUUUUUCGUCUUACAUUAAAAUAAAUAAUAAAAUAAA
Molecule: long non-coding RNA, 876 nt
Organism: Ruditapes philippinarum (Manila clam)
Lineage: Eukaryota; Metazoa; Mollusca; Bivalvia; Venerida; Veneridae
Exons: 3
Source: RefSeq, a predicted model, not a curated record